ACUUAAAGCGAUUCAGCGGGUUACGAUUGACGGAGCGAAGCGACGUCAAAGCGUAUACAAAGUCGAGUCGGUUUAAGGAUACGUUCGUUGGGUAGGGGAGCGUUCUGUAAGCCUGUGAAGGUGGCCUGUGAGGGUUGCUGGAGGUAUCAGAAGUGCGAAUGCUGACAUAAGUAACGAUAAAGCGGGUGAAAAGCCCGCUCGCCGGAAGACCAAGGGUUCCUGUCCAACGUUAAUCGGGGCAGGGUGAGUCGACCCCUAAGGCGAGGCCGAAAGGCGUAGUCGAUGGGAAACGGGUUAAUAUUCCCGUACUUGGUGUUACUGCGAAGGGGGGACGGAGAAGGCUAUGUUGGCCGGGCGACGGUUGUCCCGGUUUAAGCGUGUAGGUGUGUGUUCCAGGUAAAUCCGGUUCACUUUAACACUGAGGCGUGAUGACGAGGCACUACGGUGCUGAAGCAACAAAUGCCCUGCUUCCAGGAAAAGCCUCUAAGCAUCAGGUAACAUCAAAUCGUACCCCAAACCGACACAGGUGGUCAGGUAGAGAAUACCAAGGCGCUUGAGAGAACUCGGGUGAAGGAACUAGGCAAAAUGGUGCCGUAACUUCGGGAGAAGGCACGCUGACACGUAGGUGAAGUGAUUUACUCAUGGAGCUGAAGUCAGUCGAAGAUACCAGCUGGCUGCAACUGUUUAUUAAAAACACAGCACUGUGCAAACACGAAAGUGGACGUAUACGGUGUGACGCCUGCCCGGUGCCGGAAGGUUAAUUGAUGGGGUCAGCGCAAGCGAAGCUCCUGAUCGAAGCCCCGGUAAACGGCGGCCGUAACUAUAACGGUCCUAAGGUAGCGAAAUUCCUUGUCGGGUAAGUUCCGACCUGCACGAAUGGCGUAAUGAUGGCCAGGCUGUCUCCACCCGAGACUCAGUGAAAUUGAACUCGCUGUGAAGAUGCAGUGUACCCGCGGCAAGACGGAAAGACCCCGUGAACCUUUACUAUAGCUUGACACUGAACAUUGAGCCUUGAUGUGUAGGAUAGGUGGGAGGCUUUGAAGCGUGGACGCCAGUCUGCGUGGAGCCGACCUUGAAAUACCACCCUUUAAUGUUUGAUGUUCUAACGUGGACCCGUAA
Molecule: ribosomal RNA, 1119 nt
Filed under: Salmonella enterica subsp. enterica serovar Muenchen
Lineage: Bacteria; Pseudomonadati; Pseudomonadota; Gammaproteobacteria; Enterobacterales; Enterobacteriaceae
Description: partial 23S ribosomal RNA
Rfam family: Bacterial large subunit ribosomal RNA
Source: RNAcentral